This 1353-nucleotide long non-coding RNA is filed under the name Malus domestica (apple). RNAcentral's name for it is "long non-coding RNA (MDOM_LNC008886)". The record is from RNAcentral. Lineage: Eukaryota; Viridiplantae; Streptophyta; Magnoliopsida; Rosales; Rosaceae.
CCUCUCUUGUGGUCACUCUCCUAGUGGCAAUAGUCUCUCUCACAUUGCCUUCAGAAACUUCAGCUAACUACCCUUACACCUCUCCACCACCACCGGCCUCUCCUCCCUACCAUUACAAGUCACCACCGCCUCCUUCUCCUUCUCCUCCAGUGCACUACUCACCACCUAAGCAUCCCUACCACCCUAAGUCACCACCACCUCCUGUGUACGCACCACCUAAGCAUCCCUACCACCCUAAGUCACCACCACCUCCUGUGUACCCACCACCUAAGCAUCCCUACCACCCCAAGUCACCACCACCAUCACCAAAGCCUUACCACUACAAAUCCCCACCACCACCUCCUGCUCCAGUGCACUCACCACCCCCACCUAAGGAGCCAUACCACUACAAGUCCCCACCACCACCACCCAAGAAGCCCUACCACUACAAAUCUCCCCCACCACCUCCUCCUCCAGUUCACUCACCACCACCACCCAAGGAGCCUUACCACUACAAAUCUCCACCACCACCACCCAAGAAACCUUACUAUUACAAGUCUCCUCCACCACCACCAAAGAAGCCUUACCACUACAUGUCUCCUCCCCCACCGGUGUACUCACCACCUCCACCAGUGCACUCACACCCACCACCAAAAAAGCCUUACCAUUACAAAUCUCCUCCCCCGCCAGAAUAUUCACCAGCUCCACCAGUGCACUCAACCCCACCACCAAAGAAGCCCUACCAUUACAAAUCCCCACCACCACCACCACCACACAAGAAGCCUUAUUACCCUGUUCACUCACCACCUCCACCUAAGAAGCCUUACCACUACAAAUCCCCACCACCACCUUCUCCUACUCCUCCUAAAUACUCACCACCUAAGCACCCCUACCACUACAAGUCUCCACCACCACCACCAAAGAAGCCUUACCAUUACAAGUCCCCACCACCUCCUUCUCCUACUCCCCCUAAAUACUCACCACCUAAGCACCCCUACCACUACAAGUCACCACCACCACCACCCCAAGAAGCCUUACCACUACAAGUCUCCACCACCACCACCUCCUCCAGUUCCCACACCAUCUCCACCCAAGAAACCUUACCACUACAAGUCUCCCCCACCACCCCCUCCAGUCUACAAGUCUCCUCCACCACCAGUUUACUCACCACCACCACCACCUAAGAAACCUUACAAGCCACCAACUCCUCCAGCAGUUCACCCACCACACGGUUACAUCUAUUCCUCACCCCCACCUCCUCACCACUACUAGAUAUUGAAAGUUUAAUUGCAUCAAGCUGGUAAGCUUCUCCAUUCUAUGCUAUUAUUCAUUAAUUAGUUAGUACUACUGUUGUCAAUUUGGAAAUCACCAUAC